This 712-nucleotide ribosomal RNA is filed under the name Campeiostachys dahurica var. cylindrica. RNAcentral describes it as "eukaryotic LSU rRNA". The stretch from base 281 to 436 matches the Rfam family "5.8S ribosomal RNA". Lineage: Eukaryota; Viridiplantae; Streptophyta; Magnoliopsida; Poales; Poaceae. The record is from RNAcentral.
GGAAGUAAAAGUCGUAACAAGGUUUCCGUAGGUGAACCUGCGGAAGGAUCAUUGUCGUGACCCUGACCAAAACAGACCGCGCACGCGUCAUCCAAUCCGUCGGUGACGGCAUCGUCCGUCGCUCGGCCAAUGCCUCGACCACCUCCCCUCCUCGGAGUGGGUGGGGGCUCGGGGUAAAAGAACCCACGGCGCCGAAGGCGUCAAGGAACACUGUGCCUAACCCGGGGGCAUGGCUAGCUUGCUAGCCAUCCCUCGUGUUGCAAAGCUAUUUAAUCCACACGACUCUCGGCAACGGAUAUCUCGGCUCUCGCAUCGAUGAAGAACGUAGCGAAAUGCGAUACCUGGUGUGAAUUGCAGAAUCCCGCGAACCAUCGAGUCUUUGAACGCAAGUUGCGCCCGAGGCCACUCGGCCGAGGGCACGCCUGCCUGGGCGUCACGCCAAAACACGCUCCCAACACCCCUCAUCGGGAAUCGGGAUGCGGCAUCUGGUCCCUCGUCUCGCAAGGGGCGGUGGACCGAAGAUCGGGCUGCCGGCGUACCGCGCCGGACACAGCGCAUGGUGGGCGUCCUCGCUUUAUCAACGCAGUGCAUCCGACGCGCAGCCGGCAUGAUGGCCUCAAAACGACCCAGCAAACGAAGCGCACGUCGCUUCGACCGCGACCCCAGGUCAGGCGGGACUACCCGCUGAGUUUAAGCAUCAAUAAGCGGAGGA